AUUUGAUACGGUGCAUUUAUUUAUAUGGAUAUAUUCCAGACUUCAUUUAUGAAAGAAAAACUUGAGGCAGAGAAUUAUUUGUUUUUUUGUAGCUCUAUUUUAGAACAUUUAAUUUAAACUUGUUGAAAUGAAGUUAGUUUAAAAUUUAUCAAAGUAAGCUUUAGAAAUCCUUUUUUUUAAUUUAGAUUUAUUAUGCAUGUCUCUAUACAUAGUAAGCGACGCGUAACAGUUUAUAAGUACAUGUAGUGUUCUCUUAUAUGCAUUUGAU
Molecule: long non-coding RNA, 268 nt
Filed under: Mytilus galloprovincialis (Mediterranean mussel)
Lineage: Eukaryota; Metazoa; Mollusca; Bivalvia; Mytilida; Mytilidae
Source: RNAcentral